AGGACAGGUGGGUGGCUUCUCGUGUCAGGCUGCAGCUUCCAGGCCUCCGUGGACAUGAGGAACUUUGAAUUAACGCUGGAGGAGAGCCUCGAGAGCCGUUGCAGACAGCACCGCGUAAAGCGCACGGAGCCGUUGGUGGUGCCGGGCCGUGAGGCCAUUAGCACAGGGGACAGGGCCCACUUGGAGAGACCUGGCCAAUUACCGGGAGCAGCAAGCCAGGCUGAGAAAUCUUUUCUCGCCAAGUCAUUAAAGAUUGGGCUGGAGCCUCAGGAAACCCGCAAACUUGGGCCACUUAGCAGGAGAGAAGAAGGCCCACUGGCAUAUCCACACCGGCAGGGUUUUGGGUGACAGGACACGGUGGACCUAUUUAUGAGCCUUAGGCUUUGUCUCCUCCAAGCACCUCAAGGUUUCAUGUGGUCGGCCCUCGGCACUCCGAGAGCGAAAGCUUCAGCUACUUGCGACUGAAAGUGAAAAAAGAAAAUCCCAAAUCAACCUAACUGAUUCGUUCCCGAGUGAAGGAAAAUGACAGAGGAAGGACACAGAGCCGCUAAUGGCCAUUCUUUGACAGCCCACCCAGACUGUCCUCGCUGUAUUUAAAAUAAGCACUUUCUCGACUCCUCACUCUCUAACCAUGACAUCACUGCUGAGGGAAAGGUGGCGAGAGAAGACCAGGCAAACACAUCAGGAGCCGUGAAUCAGAGCGAGGGCGGGAAGACUAACGUUGUCCAGAAGGGAAGGCCCCACACAGAACUAGACCAGGCCGCCGGGGACCGGGCCACUGGGGAGGCUUCCUGGCUGUUGAGUUCCCUCUUCUGCGUGUCCCUUCUCCCCACCAGGGUGGCAGGGCUCUCUCCAGGCCUUAGCCCUCAAGUCUGGCUCUUUGAGGUUUUGAUUGAUCUCAGAUUUAAUUUUCUCUUCUAGAAUUUCCUGAUAAAUCUCCAAGCAGAAAGCAA
Molecule: long non-coding RNA, 953 nt
Organism: Leopardus geoffroyi (Geoffroy's cat)
Lineage: Eukaryota; Metazoa; Chordata; Mammalia; Carnivora; Felidae
Exons: 4
Source: RefSeq, a predicted model, not a curated record